GGAAGGCCGAGGACAAAGGAGGAAAGCGCCAGCCUCGAAUUGCUGCCCAGCAGAGAGCCAGCUCCCCACCAAUGCGCCUGGAAGAUGGCUCAAGUGCAAGAUCCAGAUGUGAUUCCAGGUUCCUGACUUUGGGCUGGCAUUUGGCAGAGAGGGAGAGAGAGAGAGACAGACACGAUCUUCUGGCUCACUUCCCCAAUGUCUGCAAUGUCUGGACCGUGGGCUGAAGCUGGAAUAUGGAAACUCAAUCCCAGUCUCACGGACUGGCAUUGUGGCAUAGUGGAUAAAGCUGCCGCCUGAGAUACUGGCAUCCAUAUCAGCACUGGUUCACGUCCUGGCUGCUCCACUUGCAAUCUAGCCCCCUGCUAAUGGCCUGGGAAAAGCAGUGGAAGAUGACUUGGGUGUUUGGGCCCCUGCCACCCAUAUGAA
Molecule: long non-coding RNA, 426 nt
Organism: Lepus europaeus (European hare)
Lineage: Eukaryota; Metazoa; Chordata; Mammalia; Lagomorpha; Leporidae
Exons: 3
Source: RefSeq, a predicted model, not a curated record